RNAcentral lists this ribosomal RNA (442 nucleotides) under uncultured bacterium. RNAcentral's name for it is "bacterial SSU rRNA". It matches the Rfam family "Bacterial small subunit ribosomal RNA", at positions 340 to 774 of the family's 1533-position model. The record is from RNAcentral.
UACGGGAGGCAGCAGUGGGGAAUAUUGCACAAUGGGCGCAAGCCUGAUGCAGCCAUGCCGCGUGUAUGAAGAAGGCCUUCGGGUUGUAAAGUACUUUUCAGUCGUGAGGAAGGUGUUAAGGUUAAUAACCUUAGCAAUUGACGUUAGCGACAGAAGAAGCACCGGCUAACUCCGUGCCAGCAGCCGCGGUAAUACGGAGGGUGCGAGCGUUAAUCGGAAUUACUGGGCGUAAAGGGCACGCAGGCGGUUAAUUAAGUUGGAUGUGAAAUCCCCGGGCUUAACCUGGGAAUGGCAUUCAAGACUGGUUAGCUAGAGUCUUGUAGAGGGGGUAGAAUUCCAUGUGUAGCGGUGAAAUGCGUAGAGAUGUGGAGGAAUACCGGUGGCGAAGGCGGCCCCUGGACAAAGGACUGACGCUCAUGUGCGAAAGCGUGGGGAGCAAACG